This 440-nucleotide ribosomal RNA is filed under the name uncultured bacterium. RNAcentral's name for it is "partial 16S ribosomal RNA". It matches the Rfam family "Bacterial small subunit ribosomal RNA", at positions 28 to 507 of the family's 1533-position model. The record is from RNAcentral.
GACGAACGCUGGCGGCGUGCCUAAUGCAUGCCAGUCGCACGCGGCACCUUCGGGUGCUGAGUGGCGAACGGCUGAGGAACACGUGGGGACCUGUCCGGGAGUGGGGGACAACACCGCGAAAGCGGUGCUAAUCCCGCAUACGCUCUGAGGAGGAAAGCCGAAAGGCGCUCCCGGGUGGCCCUGCGGCCCAUCAGGUUGUUGGUGGGGUAACGGCCUACCAAGCCAAUGACGGGUCGCUGGUCUGUGAGGACGACCAGCCAGACUGGGACUGGGACACGGCCCAGACUCCUACGGGAGGCAGCAGCAAGGAAUUUUCGGCAAUGGGCGCAAGCCUGACCGAGCAACGCCGCGUGCAGGAAGACGGCCUUCGGGUUGUAAACUGCUUUUGCUAGGGAUGAUAACAGACAGUACCUGGCGAAUCAGCCCCGGCUAACUCGGUG